UACGUAGGGUGCAAGCGUUGUCCGGAAUUAUUGGGCGUAAAGAGCUCGUAGGCGGUUUGUCGCGUCUGCUGUGAAAACCCGAGGCUCAACCUCGGGCCUGCAGUGGGUACGGGGCAGACUAGAGUGCGGUAGGGGGAGAUUGGAAUUCCUGGUGUAGCGGUGGAAUGCGCAGAUAUCAGGGAGGAACACCAAUGGCGAAGGCAGAUCUCUGGGCCUAACUGACGCUGAGGUGCGAAAGCGUGGGGGAGCAAAACAGGG
RNAcentral lists this ribosomal RNA (258 nucleotides) under uncultured bacterium. Its description in RNAcentral is "partial 16S ribosomal RNA". It matches the Rfam family "Bacterial small subunit ribosomal RNA", at positions 524 to 777 of the family's 1533-position model. The record is from RNAcentral.